UGGGGAAUAUUGGACAAUGGGCGCAAGCCUGAUCCAGCCAUGCCGCGUGAGUGAUGAAGGCCUUAGGGUUGUAAAGCUCUUUUACUCGGGAAGAUAAUGACUGUACCGAGAGAAUAAGCCCCGGCUAACUUCGUGCCAGCAGCCGCGGUAAUACGAAGGGGGCUAGCGUUGUUCGGAAUUACUGGGCGUAAAGCGCAUGUAGGCGGCGAUUCAAGUCGGGGGUGAAAUCCCAGGGCUCAACCCUGGAACUGCCUUCGAUACUGUCUUGCUAGAGUGUGGAAGAGGUAAGUGGAACUGCAAGUGUAGAGGUGAAAUUCGUAGAUAUUUGCAAGAACACCAGUGGCGAAGGCGGCUUACUGGUCCAUUACUGACGCUGAGAUGCGAAAGCGUGGGGAGCAAACAG
RNAcentral lists this ribosomal RNA (403 nucleotides) under uncultured bacterium. Its description in RNAcentral is "bacterial SSU rRNA". It matches the Rfam family "Bacterial small subunit ribosomal RNA", at positions 355 to 775 of the family's 1533-position model. The record is from RNAcentral.